UAGAGUUUGAUCCUGGCUCAGGAUGAACGCUAGCUACAGGCUUAACACAUGCAAGUCGAGGGGAAACGACAUCGAAAGCUUGCUUUUGAUGGGCGUCGACCGGCGCACGGGUGAGUAACGCGUAUCCAACCUGCCCACCACUUGGGGAUAACCUUGCGAAAGUAAGACUAAUACCCAAUGAUAUCUCUAGAAGACAUCUGAAAGAGAUUAAAGAUUUAUCGGUGAUGGAUGGGGAUGCGUCUGAUUAGCUUGUUGGCGGGGUAACGGCCCACCAAGGCAACGAUCAGUAGGGGUUCUGAGAGGAAGGUCCCCCACAUUGGAACUGAGACACGGUCCAAACUCCUACGGGAGGCAGCAGUGAGGAAUAUUGGUCAAUGGACGAGAGUCUGAACCAGCCAAGUAGCGUGCAGGAUGACGGCCCUAUGGGUUGUAAACUGCUUUUAUAAGGGAAUAAAGUGAGUCUCGUGAGACUUUUUGCAUGUACCUUAUGAAUAAGGACCGGCUAAUUCCGUGCCAGCAGCCGCGGUAAUACGGAAGGUCCGGGCGUUAUCCGGAUUUAUUGGGUUUAAGGGGAGCGUAGGCCGGAGAUUAAGCGUGUUGUGAAAUGUAGACGCUCAACGUCUGCACUGCAGCGCGAACUGGUUUCCUUGAGUACGCACAAAGUGGGCGGAAUUCGUGGUGUAGCGGUGAAAUGCUUAGAUAUCACGAAGAACUCCGAUUGCGAAGGCAGCUCACUGGAGCGCAACUGACGCUGAAGCUCGAAAGUGCGGGUAUCGAACAGGAUUAGAUACCCUGGUAGUCCGCACGGUAAACGAUGGAUGCCCGCUGUUGGUCUGAAUAGGUCAGCGGCCAAGCGAAAGCAUUAAGCAUCCCACCUGGGGAGUACGCCGGCAACGGUGAAACUCAAAGGAAUUGA
Molecule: ribosomal RNA, 916 nt
Filed under: uncultured bacterium
Lineage: Bacteria
Description: bacterial SSU rRNA
Rfam family: Bacterial small subunit ribosomal RNA
Source: RNAcentral